Molecule: microRNA precursor, 132 nt
Filed under: Gossypium arboreum
Lineage: Eukaryota; Viridiplantae; Streptophyta; Magnoliopsida; Malvales; Malvaceae
Description: MIR7502 microRNA precursor family
Rfam family: MIR7502 microRNA precursor family
Source: Rfam by way of RNAcentral
UGUUAAAAAUUUCAUCCAUUUAUACCAUUAAAAAAUAGCGUGGUUGACGGAAUAACUAUACAGUGUAUGUAUGUUUCAUGCUGACAUAUAAGAAUCAGUUUUUUAUAAUAGAAACAAAUGAAAUUUUUAACA